UGAAAGGAGGUAACAGAUGUGAAAUGGCAAAGAUAAUUAGAAAGACGCACUUAUUACUCGAAGAAGUGAUUGAACAGUGUAUUCUCCGUGACCGUGGUGAGUGGGAGGACAUUUGUGAGCAAGAGAGCAAUCGAUGUUGUUGUCUGGUUAGCACGACUAGCAGAGGACCCUUUUGGAUGGUGGCCACGGCACUCACGUCACGAAAAACCAUCAUCUGAAAAUUAGUGAGUGAAUUCUGGGAGCCAGUCAG
This is a non-coding RNA of Pimephales promelas (fathead minnow), 250 nucleotides long. Lineage: Eukaryota; Metazoa; Chordata; Actinopteri; Cypriniformes; Leuciscidae. The record is from RefSeq and is a predicted model, not a curated record.